UACGUAGGUGGCAAGCGUUAUCCGGAAUUACUGGGCGUAAAGCGCACGCAGGCGGUCUUUUAAGUUUGACGUGAAAGCUCCCGGCUUAACUGGGAGAGGUCGUUGAAUACUGGAAGGCUUGAGGCAAUGAGAGGGGUGUAGAAUUCCCGGUGUAGUGGUGGAAUGCGUAGAUAUCGGGGGGAACACCAGUGGCGAAAGCGGCACCCUGGCAUUGGCCUGACGCUCAUGUGCGAAAGCGUGGGGAGCGAACGGG
RNAcentral lists this ribosomal RNA (253 nucleotides) under uncultured bacterium. RNAcentral's name for it is "partial 16S ribosomal RNA". It matches the Rfam family "Bacterial small subunit ribosomal RNA", at positions 524 to 776 of the family's 1533-position model. The record is from RNAcentral.